Molecule: long non-coding RNA, 214 nt
Organism: Pan troglodytes (chimpanzee)
Lineage: Eukaryota; Metazoa; Chordata; Mammalia; Primates; Hominidae
Exons: 2
Source: RefSeq, a predicted model, not a curated record
UCUAGGUAUAGCCGGUCAAAUUCCUCUAAAAGAUCACUGCUAUUUUGGAAUUCUGUUGGAAACCUGAUUUCAGACUAUUUGUGGAUCAACCAGUGACUUCAAGGAGGGAGCAUGAAUUAUCUGCAACUUUCAUUGAAUUAUUCAGUACCUACCAUGCAUGAUUCUAAUUGUUUCAAAGGUAUCUCCCUUAAAAAUAAAUGGCUUUUCAGCUAAA